AAGAAAGUGCGUGCACCCUACCGAGCCUCUGGGGCUAUCCACGAUUACCUGUUGGCGUCCACUGGGCUGGGCAAAAAUCGUACUGCCUCGAUCGAUUUGUACUGCAGUUGUACUGCGAGAGCGCUCGAGCUGUUGUACUGCACGCGAGCGAGGAAAGAAAACCGCCAAACAUUUCCUCUGGAUGCCCUCCCUCCUCUCAAUUUCGCUCUCCCUGCCGACCCCUAAUUUCUCUCCCGUCCCAACCUGCCCGGCGGCGGCAAAAAGCUAACGGGACUAGCCACAGGGAGCGGGCAGCAGCGCCGCCACGACGAGGUCAAGAACCCCGGCGGCCGCAUCCCCACCGGCGGGAAAAGGGAUCCCCUUUUCUUCGCCCUGGCGGUCAUCCGGGAGAAGGACGACCUGUGCCUCAAGAUUUGCCGCCGCCGCGACAUGGAGGCCGGCCUGCUGAUGCUGCUCUCCUCCCGUGUCAGGGACGACGGGCUGCUGCUGCACGCCGGUGCAUAUCGGCGAUCGGGUACUCACGUCCGUUCCCCUCUUGCUAAUGGAAUGCUGUUGUUUUCUUAUUUCUCUUGCAAUGAUUGAUGAUAGAGCCAAAUGCAGCGGUGAGGGCAAGGAUAGGAGGCAGCGGGUUCAAGAGGGCGCCUUGGGGAUCUCUUGGCACAUAGUGAUACUCCACAUGGAACAUGUAACUAUACAUUUGUUCCUUGGAAGUGCAAGGAUCAUCAAAUCUCCUUAUUAAUGUGCUUCCAUACCUGGCAGACAUGGCUAACCAUUUUUAAUUAGUCGUUGCUUCACUCUGACAUUUUUUGUUUGGUUCCAUUUGUUUGUACAGUUGGUUCUUGUGGAGUUGGCCGAGCUCCAGGACAGGGUCAAGUUGCUCAAGUGCAAAUUGGAGACGACAGCGACGGCAACCACAAUGAGGCAAUGUCGAGGAUGCACCGAGUCUCAAGGGUGGCGGGGGCGGCUGACAGUGAAGAUAUUUGUUCAAGUUAAGUUUUCACGAAGAUACAAAACUAUUAGUACAAUGGUACUGUAUUGUUGCGUCAAUUUGUCAAAUUAUGAUGGCAGUGAGCAUUGUUGAGACAAAAACUAUAAUCUUUCGCAUUUUAGAUGAUUAUAUUGAAAAAUAAGUUAUGUUUAUUUGUUAUAACGAGGUACAUCCAGCCUGAUUUUGCAACACCCUACUUCUUUAGUACCACCCGCUUCAUCACUUUGUUGCAUCUGCUCAUCUUUUAACUAGGAAAUGUUUCACUAACUGACAAUAUUACUCACAAAAGUAACUUUGGUUCUUCUCUAGACGAGUCCACAAGUGCAUUAGAAGAUAAAAAUGAGGUCACAAUCCAUAUACCGUUGUUGUAUUUUAUUUAUUACCUGUUGCUUCCUACUGUGAACUAUUGAAAAAUGGCAAGUCAUUAGUUAUAACUUCAAUACCACUUUUGACCAUUGUGCCUCUGGCACAGAUUCAUCUAUAGAGUCUGAUCGAAGCAAUAGAGAGAAGCUAACAUAUAUAAGCGCUGGUCACUUGAAAACACGUCAUGAGUUUCACAACAAGGCUUUGAUUUUCAAUAAUGACUUGUACCCUUCCUCUUUUUCCAACUGAUAACAAUGGAAAUGCACUAUUUUUCCUAUGUUCUCUGUAGGCUUAGUCCUCUACGUGUGGAACUAUUCUGAUAAGCCCUUGCCAUGCCUGGUAAGUUCAUUUCAGUGGAGUUUGUUGUUUUUGUGGUCAUGCCGCUAAAUUUAUGCUCUUUAUUUUCAAUAUGCAUGUGUAUUACCUUUUUUCUCCUGUAGAAUAUACAUUGACCCCAUUUGGAAUGUAGGAAUCACAUUAGGAUUCCAGACAAAUUACUAUGUUUCAUGCAUGACUCUUGGCCAGUGAGCAUUGUUCUAUUUUGUGUGUCUUGGGCCAUGAGCAUAAACUUCGCAAAUCACUAUCUGAUUAGAAGCAGCAUGGCAUAGAUGGGUGCUAGGAGAUGAAGGUGAGAGAGAAUAGUAAGCACUUCAAAGAACCUUACUGUAAGCACAGAAGCAAAUCCAGCGCCCAGCCCUCGCACGCCACGUGAGCCUCUGAAGAUUAACCUUUCUAUAAGCACAAUUACGAAAGCACUUCAUCUGAUAUGCCAAAAUAAUGCACACUUAUUGUUAGCCCGAUCUUUAGCUUCUAUAAAUUAAAUUCAUAGUAACUUCCAAAAUUUUAUUGUCGUGAUUGUAUGUUCACAGAGAACCAUCGACAAAAUGGUUUACUGAUGGUGUUAGUAAACUGUUUUGAUUUCUUCAGAAUAUUGUUGUGCUUUAAAUUCUCUUUGUUCCUGAAUGAUAUCAUACUGAAGCCAAAAAUUUCUGAACUUUGUGAUCUGGGCCUAACAUGAUUUGACAUCCUCUGCGUUUUAGAUGAGCAGUAGCAUUAUACAUUUUAUUUUUCGCGAUAUGGAGUAAGUAGGAAACAAGUUAACAUUACUUUUGCUUAGGAGAUGGCCAACGAAAAUCAUAAGCAAAAAUAUAAAGUACUGUAGCGAUUGUUUCUACUUCCUUCUGAGCUUUGUAGUUGCGCUGCUCCAUUCCUAAUACAUAAAGAAGGCAAUAUCCAAAUCUAUCAAAAGUUUUACUACAAUUUGAGCUUGUUUUUUUUAUAAAGUAUUUAAUGGAACAUACGGGUAGUUCAUUCUUGGUCAAAAUAUCAUUUUCCCCCUUACCAAAUUAGCUCUUAGUGCCUUCUGUUUCUAUUGGUAAGUUGCUAGAAAUGUGCAAGAUGAUUUCUGUAAUUUGAUUCUCAGUCCCAUUCUUAUAGAAAUUGUAAGUCGUUUCAACUUCACAUCUUGAUGGUAAUAUUAUCUAGCAUAUUUUUGGCAUGGGUUAGCUGUGUUCUUACAUUCAAAUAAGGAACAGUGUUGAGCUGAAACCUGGAGGAAAUAAAGAAUCACAUUGAACCUCAUUGUCCUAGGUUAGCUGUAUUUGUGGUUGGUGCCAUUAUUUUCCAGUGUAUAUACUUAUUUUCCUGCUAAAAAUUGACAUUAAUUGUGGAUAUUAUCUUCUCUAUCUGUUGAUGUAAUUGGACUCUCUGUGUCUAUUUGUAUGCUCUGUUUGCUGAUAGGUUCUUUAUUUGACAACGUGUAUAUCUAGGAAAGUAUGUACCACUUGAUGUUUGAUAUCAUGUAGGGACUAUUUGAUUUAGUGGAAUUUCGAAUUAGUUUAUGUCGGUGUUUCUUGUAGUUUAGGUUACUGCUACCACCACCCAAUAAAGUUUUGUUUUGUCACUUGCGGAGUUGUUUAACGCUACCACCACCCAAUAUUCAUAAUGUGCUUGUUGGCUAUAAAGCUGUUAGUAGCACAUAUGUACUCUGUCCACUAGGAAAUUAACAAGUAAUCAUCUGCUCCAUGCCUUUUGUUCUUACAUUGAGUUGUAGAUUCAUGAUUGUUGCAGAGGCUGCCCACACUUCAGCCAUCGGCUGUUGGCAUGCCUGACAUCACAGCUCAAAACAUGCAGUGCAUGAAAGGUAUACUGAUGUUUGCUAAUAUUUUGUACAUGUUUAGUUUUUAUUUCCUUCUUGCACUUAACAUAUGUAUGUACAUUCAUGCACCGGAUCUUUCAUUGAAUUACAGACAAAUUUCGUUUGUCUGUCCAUACCAAGUCUAUGGAGAAACAAUUGAGCAGCUUCUCUCUUUGUGCUGGAUUACAGGAACUUCCCCUACGGUCUACGGAUGCAAUACAUCACCUUUGUUGUUUUUUCUUCUUUGAUACUUCAGGCCUAGCUGCUCAGCUCUGUUUGAUCUGUUUUCUGUGUGUGCGCCUUUUGUUAGUGUACCAACUUGAUGUGUGUUAAUUAGUUUAGGCAUCCUUUUAACCUUGUAUGUUAAGUAAAAUCAUGGAACCAUCGUUACCUGUAUCAGCCACUUGUGUUUCAAUCAAGAAAAAUGAAAUGUACACGCUGUUUUCUUCUGGUAA
Lolium rigidum is the source of this 3943-nucleotide RNA transcript. RefSeq lists it as uncharacterized. The record is from RefSeq and is a predicted model, not a curated record. The transcript is spliced from 3 exons. NCBI's taxonomy places the organism in Eukaryota, Viridiplantae, Streptophyta, Magnoliopsida, Poales, Poaceae.